GAUUAAGUUAUUAAGGGCGCACGGUGGAUGCCUUGGCACUAGAAGCCGAUGAAGGACGUUACUAACGACGAUAUGCUUUGGGGAGCUGUAAGUAAGCUUUGAUCCAGAGAUUUCCGAAUGGGGAAACCCAGCAUGAGUUAUGUCAUGUUAUCGAUAUGUGAAUACAUAGCAUAUUAGAAGGCACACCCGGAGAACUGAAACAUCUUAGUACCCGGAGGAAGAGAAAGAAAAUUCGAUUCCCUUAGUAGCGGCGAGCGAAACGGGAAGAGCCCAAACCAACAAGCUUGCUUGUUGGGGUUGUAGGACACUCUAUACGGAGUUACAAAGGACGACAUUAGACGAAUCAUCUGGAAAGAUGAAUCAAAGAAGGUAAUAAUCCUGUAGUCGAAAAUGUUGUCUCUCUUGAGUGGAUCCUGAGUACGACGGAGCACGUGAAAUUCCGUCGGAAUCUGGGAGGACCAUCUCCUAAGGCUAAAUACUCUCUAGUGACCGAUAGUGAACCAGUACCGUGAGGGAAAGGUGAAAAGCACCCCGGAAGGGGAGUGAAAUAGAACCUGAAACCGUGUGCUUACAAGUAGUCAGAGCCCGUUAAUGGGUGAUGGCGUGCCUUUUGUAGAAUGAACCGGCGAGUUACGAUUUGAUGCAAGGUUAAGCAGUAAAUGUGGAGCCGUAGCGAAAGCGAGUCUGAAUAGGGCGUUUAGUAUUUGGUCGUAGACCCGAAACCAGGUGAUCUACCCUUGGUCAGGUUGAAGUUCAGGUAACACUGAAUGGAGGACCGAACCGACUUACGUUGAAAAGUGAGCGGAUGAACUGAGGGUAGCGGAGAAAUUCCAAUCGAACCUGGAGAUAGCUGGUUCUCUCCGAAAUAGCUUUAGGGCUAGCCUCAAGUGAUGAUUAUUGGAGGUAGAGCACUGUUUGGACGAGGGGCCCCUCUCGGGUUACCGAAUUCAGACAAACUCCGAAUGCCAAUUAAUUUAACUUGGGAGUCAGAACAUGGGUGAUAAGGUCCGUGUUCGAAAGGGAAACAGCCCAGACCACCAGCUAAGGUCCCAAAAUAUAUGUUAAGUGGAAAAGGAUGUGGCGUUGCCCAGACAACUAGGAUGUUGGCUUAGAAGCAGCCAUCAUUUAAAGAGUGCGUAAUAGCUCACUAGUCGAGUGACACUGCGCCGAAAAUGUACCGGGGCUAAACAUAUUACCGAAGCUGUGGAUUGUCCUUUGGACAAUGGUAGGAGAGCGUUCUAAGGGCGUUGAAGCAUGAUCGUAAGGACAUGUGGAGCGCUUAGAAGUGAGAAUGCCGGUGUGAGUAGCGAAAGACGGGUGAGAAUCCCGUCCACCGAUUGACUAAGGUUUCCAGAGGAAGGCUCGUCCGCUCUGGGUUAGUCGGGUCCUAAGCUGAGGCCGACAGGCGUAGGCGAUGGAUAACAGGUUGAUAUUCCUGUACCACCUAUAAUCGUUUUAAUCGAUGGGGGGACGCAGUAGGAUAGGCGAAGCGUGCGAUUGGAUUGCACGUCUAAGCAGUAAGGCUGAGUAUUAGGCAAAUCCGGUACUCGUUAAGGCUGAGCUGUGAUGGGGAGAAGACAUUGUGUCUUCGAGUCGUUGAUUUCACACUGCCGAGAAAAGCCUCUAGAUAGAAAAUAGGUGCCCGUACCGCAAACCGACACAGGUAGUCAAGAUGAGAAUUCUAAGGUGAGCGAGCGAACUCUCGUUAAGGAACUCGGCAAAAUGACCCCGUAACUUCGGGAGAAGGGGUGCUCUUUAGGGUUAACGCCCAGAAGAGCCGCAGUGAAUAGGCCCAAGCGACUGUUUAUCAAAAACACAGGUCUCUGCUAAACCGUAAGGUGAUGUAUAGGGGCUGACGCCUGCCCGGUGCUGGAAGGUUAAGAGGAGUGGUUAGCUUCUGCGAAGCUACGAAUCGAAGCCCCAGUAAACGGCGGCCGUAACUAUAACGGUCCUAAGGUAGCGAAAUUCCUUGUCGGGUAAGUUCCGACCCGCACGAAAGGCGUAACGAUUUGGGCACUGUCUCAACGAGAGACUCGGUGAAAUCAUAGUACCUGUGAAGAUGCAGGUUACCCGCGACAGGACGGAAAGACCCCGUGGAGCUUUACUGUAGCCUGAUAUUGAAAUUCGGCACAGCUUGUACAGGAUAGGUAGGAGCCUUUGAAACGUGAGCGCUAGCUUACGUGGAGGCGCUGGUGGGAUACUACCCUAGCUGUGUUGGCUUUCUAACCCGCACCACUUAUCGUGGUGGGAGACAGUGUCAGGCGGGCAGUUUGACUGGGGCGGUCGCCUCCUAAAAGGUAACGGAGGCGCUCAAAGGUUCCCUCAGAAUGGUUGGAAAUCAUUCAUAGAGUGUAAAGGCAUAAGGGAGCUUGACUGCGAGACCUACAAGUCGAGCAGGGUCGAAAGACGGACUUAGUGAUCCGGUGGUUCCGCAUGGAAGGGCCAUCGCUCAACGGAUAAAAGCUACCCCGGGGAUAACAGGCUUAUCUCCCCCAAGAGUUCACAUCGACGGGGAGGUUUGGCACCUCGAUGUCGGCUCAUCGCAUCCUGGGGCUGUAGUCGGUCCCAAGGGUUGGGCUGUUCGCCCAUUAAAGCGGUACGCGAGCUGGGUUCAGAACGUCGUGAGACAGUUCGGUCCCUAUCCGUCGUGGGCGUAGGAAAUUUGAGAGGAGCUGUCCUUAGUACGAGAGGACCGGGAUGGACAUACCUCUGGUGUACCAGUUGUCGUGCCAACGGCAUAGCUGGGUAGCUAUGUGUGGACGGGAUAAGUGCUGAAAGCAUCUAAGCAUGAAGCCCCCCUCAAGAUGAGAUUUCCCAACUUCGGUUAUAAGAUCCCUCAAAGAUGAUGAGGUUAAUAGGUUCGAGGUGGAAGCAUGGUGACAUGUGGAGCUGACGAAUACUAAUCGAUCGAAGACUUAAUCAA
Molecule: ribosomal RNA, 2923 nt
Filed under: Staphylococcus aureus
Lineage: Bacteria; Bacillati; Bacillota; Bacilli; Caryophanales; Staphylococcaceae
Description: 23S ribosomal RNA
Rfam family: Bacterial large subunit ribosomal RNA
Source: RNAcentral